Molecule: ribosomal RNA, 250 nt
Filed under: uncultured prokaryote
Description: partial 16S ribosomal RNA
Rfam family: Bacterial small subunit ribosomal RNA
Source: RNAcentral
UACGUAGGGGGCGAGCGUUGUCCGGAAUGACUGGGCGUAAAGGGCGUGUAGGCGGUUGAAUAAGUCUGGAGUGAAAGUCCCGGUUUCAAGUUGGGAACUGCUUUGGAUACUGUUCAACUUGAGUGCGGAAGAGGUAAGUGGAAUUCCCAGUGUAGCGGUGAAAUGCGUAGAGAUUGGGAGGAACACCAGUGGCGAAGGCGACUUACUGGGCCGUAACUGACGCUGAGGCGCGAAAGCGUGGGGAGCGAAC